CAUGCAGUCGAGCGGCAGCGGGAAGAUAGCUUGCUAUCUUUGCCGGCGAGCGGCGGACGGGUGAGUAAUGCCUAGGGAUCUGCCCAGUCGAGGGGGAUAACAGUUGGAAACGACUGCUAAUACCGCAUACGCCCUACGGGGGAAAGGAGGGGACCUUCGGGCCUUCCGCGAUUGGAUGAACCUAGGUGGGAUUAGCUAGUUGGUGAGGUAAUGGCUCACCAAGGCGACGAUCCCUAGCUGUUCUGAGAGGAUGAUCAGCCACACUGGGACUGAGACACGGCCCAGACUCCUACGGGAGGCAGCAGUGGGGAAUAUUGCACAAUGGGGGAAACCCUGAUGCAGCCAUGCCGCGUGUGUGAAGAAGGCCUUCGGGUUGUAAAGCACUUUCAGUAGGGAGGAAAGGUAAUAGCUUAAUACGCUGUUGCUGUGACGUUACCUACAGAAGAAGGACCGGCUAACUCCGUGCCAGCAGCCGCGGUAAUACGGAGGGUCCGAGCGUUAAUCGGAAUUACUGGGCGUAAAGCGUGCGCAGGCGGUUUGUUAAGCGAGAUGUGAAAGCCCCGGGCUCAACCUGGGAAUUGCAUUUCGAACUGGCGAACUAGAGUCUUGUAGAGGGGGGUAGAAUUCCAGGUGUAGCGGUGAAAUGCGUAGAGAUCUGGAGGAAUACCGGUGGCGAAGGCGGCCCCCUGGACAAAGACUGACGCUCAGGCAC
This 712-nucleotide ribosomal RNA is filed under the name Shewanella baltica. RNAcentral's name for it is "bacterial SSU rRNA". It matches the Rfam family "Bacterial small subunit ribosomal RNA", at positions 54 to 754 of the family's 1533-position model. Lineage: Bacteria; Pseudomonadati; Pseudomonadota; Gammaproteobacteria; Alteromonadales; Shewanellaceae. The record is from RNAcentral.